This 381-nucleotide ribosomal RNA is filed under the name uncultured bacterium. RNAcentral describes it as "bacterial SSU rRNA". It matches the Rfam family "Bacterial small subunit ribosomal RNA", at positions 30 to 414 of the family's 1533-position model. The record is from RNAcentral.
AUUGAACGCUGGCGGUAUGCUUAACACAUGCAAGUCGAACGGUAGCAGGCCUUCGGGCGCUGACGAGUGGCGGACGGGUGAGUAACGCGUAGGAAUCUGCCUCAUAGUGGGGGACAACGUGGGGAAACUCACGCUAAUACCGCAUACGCCUACGGGGAAAGCGGGGGAGUCUUCGGACCUCGCGCUAUGAGAUGAGCCUGCGUUAGAUUAGCUAGUUGGUAGGGUAAAGGCCUACCAAGGCGACGAUCUAUAGCUGGUCUGAGAGGACGAUCAGCCACACUGGGACUGAGACACGGCCCAGACUCCUACGGGAGGCAGCAGUGGGGAAUAUUGGACAAUGGGCGCAAGCCUGAUCCAGCAAUACCGCGUGUGUGAAGAAGG